This 501-nucleotide ribosomal RNA is filed under the name uncultured bacterium. RNAcentral describes it as "bacterial SSU rRNA". It matches the Rfam family "Bacterial small subunit ribosomal RNA", at positions 30 to 518 of the family's 1533-position model. The record is from RNAcentral.
AACGAACGCUGGCGGCGCGUCUUAAGCAUGCAAGUCGAACGGCAAGAGGUAGCAAUACCUCCUAGAGUGGCGGACUGGUGAGUAACACGUGGGUGACAUACCCUUCAGAUGGGGAUAGCUAUUAGAAAUAGUAGAUAAUACCGAAUACGAGCACAGGGGUUAGAGAUCUGUGAGGAAAGGAGCUAAGGCUCCGCUGAAGGAAUGGCCUGCGGCCCAUUAGCUAGUUGGUGAGGUAAGAGCCCACCAAGGCGAUGAUGGGUAUCCGGCCUUAGAGGGUGAACGGACACAUUGGGACUGAGAUACGGCCCAGACUCCUACGGGAGGCAGCAGCUAAGAAUAUUCCGCAAUGGACGAAAGUCUGACGGAGCGACGCCGCGUGGAUGAAGAAGGCCGGAAGGUUGUAAAAUCCUUUUGAAACUGAAGAAUAAGCGUUGUAGGGAAUGACAGCGUGGUGACAGUAGGUUUUGAAUAAGCAACGGCUAAUUACGUGCCAGCAGCCGC